UUUUCCUCAGGAAACUUCAUGCAUUGCUGGUGAUACAUGACCACCGACACACAGACCGAGGGAGCCAACAUCAAUUCAUGUGCCUGGUGAAUCCUGACUCAGACUGCACAGCAAAAUCACCUGGAGGACGUCUAUUGAAUCAGAAUCUCUGGGAUGAAGCCUGGGGAUCUUUAUUUCUAUUUAACAUGGACCUCAGUGGCAAUCUUUUGCAAUCCUUGGGCUGACCUUAGAAAAUUGUUGCUUACACUGUGUAGUCCUUAAAUCAAGCAAUGCAUUUGACUCAGCUUUGUAUCCUAAGCCAGUGUAGUAUUGGUCUACAGGAUGCACUCAAUACAUGUCAAUGGACCAAAAAUGAACUGAUUAUAACUUCCUGCCUAUAGCUUUCAAAUUCUUAAUUUAACAGAGGAAAGGGGCAGGAUAUAAAGGGGGGGAGGGAUGUUAAUUGUGGAAUUUCUAGCAGCAGUUCAAUAGAUGUUUGAGGGCAAAGCAGUCUUCCUAAUGAUUGUCAGUAUGACCCAUAAAUAAGACCUUUGCAUAAAGGAGGGAGUCUCUCUCCCCAAGCUAACUAGGACCUCGCACCCUUGGAUUACAGAUUGUAUGAACUGAGUAGGGGAGCCAUCCCAGUCUUGUACGUGCACAUGGGCUUCCUCUCACCCUUUCCAGGAUACAGAGUCUCAGCAAGUGUUAACUGAUCACCAGUCGGUGGGAUAGCUUAUUGCUACUGAUCAAGAUAUAAAAAGCAUUAAAACAUCAGAAAGUGAGCUCUUUCCUGUCAUACUUCAGAUAAUUUAAACUAAGAGCUGUCAGUAGUUCUUUGCUGUCUUCUUCUCUGUUUAAGAGCAGAGAAGUUUCACAAACAAUAGCAGAGAAUUUGCUGCUCUAAUACAAUGAAAUCAAAGAAAGCUUGAGAGUACUGGCAACUCCCAAGAUCCCUCUCAGAGGAGCUCAAAAGCACUCUGAGAAUAUUAGCUAUUGGGACCAUCAAUAACGGUCAAAUCUUCAUAUCUAGUCAGAUUCUUUAAUUGCUUCUCUGGGGCAUCAUUGACUUUCUGCUUCAUCACACACUGUAAAAUUAUAAAUUCCUUGAAGGUCGGGUAUAUGUCUCGUUCCCUUUUGUACUUGUCUUAUGGUUUUGCCCAAUAGAGUGACCAACAUGUUAAACUUAUUAAUAUAAUAUCUUUGUUGUAACUUUUAUUUUAUUGUUUUAAUUAUAAAGGUAAUAUGAACUUCUAAAAAA
Molecule: non-coding RNA, 1237 nt
Organism: Miniopterus natalensis
Lineage: Eukaryota; Metazoa; Chordata; Mammalia; Chiroptera; Miniopteridae
Source: RefSeq, a predicted model, not a curated record